AACGCGAAGAACCUUACCAGGCCUUGACAUGCAUCUCUAAGCGCGUGAAAGCGCGUGAGUCCCGAAAGGGACAAUUUGCACAGGUGCUGCAUGGCUGUCGUCAGCUCGUGUCGUGAGAUGUUGGGUUAAGUCCCGCAACGAGCGCAACCCUCAUCCCUAGUUGCCACCGGGUAAUGCCGAGCACUCUAGUGAAACCGCCCCGGAUAACGGGGAGGAAGGUGGGGAUGACGUCAAGUCCUCAUGGCCUUUAUGUCCAGGGCUACACACGUGCUACAAUGGUCGGUACAAACCGUCGCAAAGCUGCAAAGUGGAGCUAAUCGGAAAAAGCCGGCCUCAGUUCGGAUUGGAGUCUGCAACUCGACUCCAUGAAGCUGGAAUCGCUAGUAAUCGCAGAUCAGAACGCUGCGGUGAAUACGUUCCCGGGCCUUGUACACACCGAUACUC
Molecule: ribosomal RNA, 444 nt
Filed under: uncultured bacterium
Lineage: Bacteria
Description: bacterial SSU rRNA
Rfam family: Bacterial small subunit ribosomal RNA
Source: RNAcentral